AGGAAAUUAGUGUUAUAAGCACAUGUUUUUGUCAAAAUCAAAGUUUAGUUCCUC
This 54-nucleotide transfer RNA is filed under the name Hexamermis agrotis. Its description in RNAcentral is "tRNA-Asp". Lineage: Eukaryota; Metazoa; Nematoda; Enoplea; Mermithida; Mermithidae. The record is from RNAcentral.